GUCGAGGGGCAGCAUGGGGGAGUAGCAAUACUCUCUGAUGGCGACCGGCGCAAGGGUGCGUAACGCGUGAGCAACUUGCCCUCAUCAGGGGAAUAAUCGCUGGAAACGGCGUUUAAUGCCCCAUGGCGAUGGAAUCAGGCAUCUGGUUCCAUCUAAAGAUCCGUCGGAUGAGGAUAGGCUCGCGUGACAUUAGCUUGACGGCGGGGUAGCGGCCCACCGUGGCGACGAUGUCUAGGGGUUCUGAGAGGAAGGUCCCCCACACUGGAACUGAGACACGGUCCAGACUCCUACGGGAGGCAGCAGUGAGGAAUAUUGGUCAAUGGCCGGAAGGCUGAACCAGCCAUGCCGCGUGAAGGUCAGUGCCCUAUGGGCGUUAAACUUCUUUUGUGCGGGAGCAAUAAGGUCCACGUGUGGACCGACGAGAGUACCGUACGAAUAAGCAUCGGCUAACUCCGUGCCAGCAGCCGCGGUAAUACGGGGGAUGCAAGCGUUAUCCGGAUUUAUUGGGUUUAAAGGGUGCGUAGGCUGUGAGGUAAGUCAGCGGUGAAAUGCCCCCGCUCAACGGGGUGAAGUGCCAUUGAUACUGCCUUGCUGGAAUGCGGAUGCCGUGGGAGGAAUGUGUGGUGUAGCGGUGAAAUGCAUAGAUAUCACACAGAACACCGAUUGCGAAGGCAUCUCACGAAUCCGCUAUUGACGCUGAUGCACGAAAGCGUGGGUAUCAAACAGGAUUAGAUACCCUGGUAGUCCACGCUGUAAACGAUGAUG
Molecule: ribosomal RNA, 765 nt
Filed under: uncultured bacterium
Lineage: Bacteria
Description: bacterial SSU rRNA
Rfam family: Bacterial small subunit ribosomal RNA
Source: RNAcentral